Molecule: ribosomal RNA, 253 nt
Filed under: uncultured bacterium
Lineage: Bacteria
Description: partial 16S ribosomal RNA
Rfam family: Bacterial small subunit ribosomal RNA
Source: RNAcentral
UACGUAGGGUGCAAGCGUUAAUCGGAAUUACUGGGCGUAAAGCGUGCGCAGGCGGCUUUGCAAGACAGAUGUGAAAUCCCCGGGCUCAACCUGGGAACUGCAUUUGUGACUGCACGGCUAGAGUGUGUCAGAGGGGGGUAGAAUUCCACGUGUAGCAGUGAAAUGCGUAGAUAUGUGGAGGAAUACCGAUGGCGAAGGCAGCCCCCUGGGAUAACACUGACGCUCAUGCACGAAAGCGUGGGGAGCAAACAGG